RNAcentral lists this long non-coding RNA (9985 nucleotides) under Zea mays. Its description in RNAcentral is "long non-coding RNA (ZMAY_LNC002207)". The record is from RNAcentral. Lineage: Eukaryota; Viridiplantae; Streptophyta; Magnoliopsida; Poales; Poaceae.
CCAAAAGCAAGGUGGGAUCCAACGUUACUCUAAUCAAUGUCAUGCAGCUGCCUGGACUCAACACGUUGGGGAUCUCGUUGGCUCGCAUUGACUACGCACCUGUUGGGGACUUGUUCUCAAAUGCUAUAAGUUAAGAACAAGGCAACACAGAGAAUGUUAAACGAUAAAGUCAUUCGUCCUUUGAGGCAUUAUUUCCCUAAGGAUAUAACGAUCUCCGGACGAAGGUCAUGAAGGACGAGCCUUCAUCAGCACAGUAUAUAUUAAUGAAAGACGAAGCAUAUGAAACAUAAAAGAUAGCAUGAAUAAUCAUAUAACAUCAUUCAUUUAACUUUAUUAUAUCAUCAUAGAGAAAUAGAGACAAUAUCGAAUUGUAAAUGUACCUUCGGUUUGGAAGGAGAUGAAAAUACAAGUGUGACGCAGAAGCAAAUGCCAAGUCAACGUGAACAGUACGGGGGUACUGUUCACCUAUUUAUAGGCACGAGGUACAACCCAUACAAAAUUACAUACAUGCCCUUUACAUUUGGUGAUAAUUCUAUAGCACUCUAUUGAGGUCUAAAUGGUCUUUUCAUCUUUAAGUCGGUUCCCUUCUCUGCGAACAUGCCGAAGCUUUCCUGCUUCACAGCUUCGGCGCUGUGUCAACCUUUGUAGCUUUUUGCUUUCUGAUACGAGUCCGAAGAUACCUGCUCACACAUUUUAAGCCGCUUCUCCCUUGAAGACCUUCGGCGACGAAGCAUAGACCCAACAGUAGCCCCUUUCGUGGUGCUAGAUCGUUUUUCGUAACAAGCUUGAUCCGUGAAAAAAGUCUCUUAAGCUUCGGGGAGCCGAAGGUCCAAAAAACACCUUCCCUGAGCUCGUUGCCGAGAAACGAUUUAAUUUCCCAGCACGCAGCGGUCCCACCUUGCAGAGUUUACUGUUUGUCCCUGCGGUCCACCGCGCAGCGAGCGCAAGCGGGUGCGCGCCUGGUGUAAAAACUCUGGCGCUUCGCCUUCUUACCUGCAGCACUAUAUAAACAGACGAGUAGGUGUGAAGUUACCACAGCAUUCAUUGCUAUUUGCACUGUUUUCCUGCCAAAAUUUUUAACCAUCGCCGAAGCUUGUCUGUUAGAAACGAACGAAGCUCCAGUUUGAAACCUGCUUCGGAGGAAGAAAAUUUUAAAGUUUCACAAGUUCAUAAUUGAAUGGCCAGAGUCCGUUCUACCGCCAGGGUUGAGCGCAAGGGGGAGGAAACUGAAGCUUCGGAGACUCUUCCCAUCUCCGAAGCCAUGCAACGAUCGGGUCUAGUGACUUCAGAAAAGAUCCCUCAUGAUGAUGCAAAACAAGCAGAACAAGCAAUCGCUGAAGCAGAGGAAGAAGAUAUUGAGGAAACUGAUUCCGAAGAUGAUUACCGCAUUGCCAUGCCAAGCAAGCCGAGCCACUUGGACUUCGGAAAAUCUACUGUGUCGAAGACUGAUCUAUCCAAGAUGGUAAAAUCGGGCUUUUUCACUGAAAAUCAGAAGAAGCUGUUGCGCUUCGGUGGAGAAGAGACUACCCCGAAGCCAGAGAAGGAUGAGAUUGUUAUUUUUAAAAGUUUUCUAAAGGCUGGAUUAAGGUUCCCCCUGCAUGGGAUUAUUGGAGAGGUACUGAAGAGAUUCGGUAUCUAUUUUCAUCAGCUGACCCCUAACGCUAUCGUUAGGCUUAUUGUUUAUAUCUGGGCACUCCGAAGCCAAGCAGUGGAACCAUUUGCAGACAGCUUCUGCCGGGUUCACGAGCUACAUUAUCAAACAAAGGCUAGAAAAGAUGGAUUACACGAUAAUUUUGGUUGCUAUAACUUUGCCUAUCGGAAAACUACAAAGUUCCCUGUAAUUAGCUACCGAAGCAAGUGGGCAGCAGGCUGGAAAUCAGAGUGGUUCUAUGUCAAGGUUGAUGACGACAAGGAAAAGCUUGUACAAAGCUCGCUGGAAUUAAUCUUCGGAGAAACCCGACCUCGCUGCAAUAUGACACCCGAAGGUCCAACACAACAAGCAAUGAGUGAAUUCAGAAUUAUUGCAGAGCAUAUCAGCACAAGGGACCUGGUUCAAGAGUUUUUAGCAUUCAAAGUUUUUCCCAGUUUGAGAGAAUGGGAAAUGCCGAAGCUACAGGGGGAAAAGAAAGAAGGUGAACUCGUACGUUUACCUUACUAUUUCAAGUUUAAAAAGUACUUUAAAGCACCUUGCCAAGAGUGGCUAGAUACGAUUGAAGCAAUGUGUAAUGAAAUACUUGGCAAUUAUUCCAAAAAAGAAGAUCAAUUGAUGACCGCAGCCUUCGGCACUCGUCCGAAACGAAGGCUAAAUCGAGUGUCGGACGCCUUGGGUUUCGAAUACCCAGACUACGAAAAUCUGAACAGAGGUGCCAGAGGCCAAAAAAGGAAAAGGGUAACUGAAACCUUAGAUGAAGGCGAAAAAGAGCCAGUAACGAAGAAAAUUCCGAAGAAAAGGAAAGCUUCUUCUCCGAAGCAACAAAUAUCCGAAGCAGAAGAAACUCCCGCAUCACCUUCUGCUGCUGUUGUUGAGGAAAUUCUGAAGGUAAUGACUGAAUCCUUACCUGCGAAGCUAAGUCCACUGGGUCCUCAACUGACAAAGUUUUUUCAGAAGGACAAGGAGCCCGAGAAAUCGAAGAAAACAAUCAAGGCAAGGAAACAAAGAAUCAUUACCGUGACAGAGGUAAUUGACAAAACGCCGCCAAGAGCUUCGGCCCAAAAAACACGAGCAACUUUAGAGGGGGCAGAUAUUGAAAUUGCACCUUCGGAGGCCGCAGCCGCCGAAGUUACCUCAGCUGAAGAUUUGAAUUUAGAGAGCACAAUUGAACAUAUUGACCAAAUGCUGCUAGACAUGGCUGCAGAAGAAGCUGCCACUGCUGCCGAAGAGACUGUGACCGCAGCGUCACAGAAAGGAAAAGAAAUUGCUGAUGAAGCUUCAGAGAACGAAGCCUUCGCGUUCCAAAACUUAGUUGGAGAACAUCUAACAAAAGCUGAAAUAGAAGAGCUUAAAGAGUAUGCCCAAUCCUGUGGAUACAAACCUGGGGCACUCCUCUUCGGAGGCGUUGAUGACGAGAAAUUAGAGUGUAUUCGGGACCAAACAGGGGCCAAAGUUAUCAGUACUCUGUCCAAGAGUAUUGGAUUCCCGAAGCUAGAAGCAGACAUCAGCCGCUACCGACGACAACAUGUCGUUGGUAGUUUAUUUUACUCCAACUUCAAGGUGAAUGACUUAUCCCUUAACCUUUAUUGCUUCUAAUAAAAACACGUCUGACGAAGGUUGUGUUUGUGUAGAGUAUGUUAUUGAGCAAAGCCGUGCAAAUGCAGCAAGAUCUUGAAGAUAAAAAGCAUGAAAUUAUAAUCGGAAAUUUGGAAAACAAAAUAAAGGAGCAAUCAGAUGCUUUUGAGAAAAAGAAUUUUGAGCUCCAGGCAGCCGAAGGCUUACUGGCGGAAGCUGAAGCAAAAAUAUCAGAACUGAACUCGAAGCUUCUCCGCCAGUCUGAGCAGUUCGAACGAGAAAAACAAGAUCUCAAUGCAAAACUUGAUGCCGAAGCUCAGCAAAAUUCGGAUUUGAGAAAACUACUGACAAAUCUUCAAGAAAAAUGCCUGGAAUUUAGCAACAAGUGCAUUCAACGAUUAAGAAAGAUUUUUUACUCGGUUGGAGCUAGCAGCGAAAAAUUUACCCCCUCAGCUGAAGAUCUACCAAAAACCUUCGAACACAUUGAGGGGGAAAUUGACGAGCUCGACGAAGUCAUAGCUGGGCAUGGUGACUUCUGUGCCUGGGUGGCUUCUCGAGGGACUGCUGCAGCCUUCAUGAAGGCUGGCUGUGAUCAUGGGAAAAUUGUCAAUAGGCCAAAUUUUACUUUGUCACCAUCAAUCCUGGAUGACAUCCUGAUCUCGCCCGAAGCAUCUCGAAUCGAUUUGUAAAAAUGAUAUGGACAAAAGGUGGUCGAGAGAAAGCGGGAGACGAAGCUCGUAGCCACCUUGAUCCAGUAAGAAAUCAUACCUUGUGCUUACCUUUUCCUGUAAACUUGAUUCUGACUUCCAACGACCUUAUUCAUGUAGGAUGACGAAGCCGAAGCUGAUGAUCAAAAAUAACGCCGAAGCCGAAGCUCCUUGGAGAUUUAGAUAGCAGACUGCAGACAGUACUUGAAAAACUUUUGAGAUAACUUUUGUAAAUGUAAACAAAAACUUGUUUUUAAUGUAUGCUGUUCAUACCUUGUAAUAUAUUCUUAACCUUUCACUGAUGUAUGAGAAAUGCUUUGGUGUGGACGAAAUUUCCUUUUUUGAGCCGAAGGCGAAAAAACACCUUCCCUUCUUUUCGUACGCAACGAAGCAUAGAAAACAACAUUUUCCUUUUUUCCGAAGCUCUUCUUCAUAGAAAACAACAUUUUCCUUUUCUCCGAAGCUCUCCUUCAUAGAAGUUUUUCCCUUUCUUUUUUCUCUUCUUGCCGAAGCAACCAUUUUAUGCGAUGAAGAUGAUUAUCCUACAUAUGCCUAGAUGAAUGUUUAUGAAUGCAAAUGCUAUGAUGUAAUGUGAUGUGCAAAUGAAUGGCCAAACACGUAUCCGAAGCCAUAUUCAUAGCCAUUAUUUUCUUAAAAACAAUCACACCUCAGCUCUGCAUUCCCUUAGGAACGACUUUGGAGCUUCUUCGCCUUUACUUUUGGCGGAAUCAGCGUUGACUUUUCGCUGUAAGCUCUGCAUUCCCUUAGGAACGUCUUUGGAGCUUCUUCGCCUUUACUUUUCGGUUGAUUUCGCUGUAACUCUGCAUUCCUUAGUCUUUGAGCUUCUUCGCCUUUACUUUUGGUGGAAUCAGCGUUGACUUUUCGCUGUAAGCUCUGCAUUCCCUUAGGAACGUCUUUGGAGCUUCUUUUUUUUCUUUUUGGCACUCGAUGGUGCAUUCUCAGCUUUUACAUUUACAUUCUUUGGGGGAUUUUGUUCUUAUAGAACUAAAAAAGAAAAUUACACGUGAUGGCCCCAUUAAAAACCUUUCUCCCCCUUCGGAAAGGAAAAGGGUGCCAUGAAAGAAGAACUAAAAAAUAAAAAAUAUGAAAAAUUACAUCGAAUUAAACAUAAUAUCGCCGAAGCUCAUCCGCAUUCCAAGAUCUAGGAAUGUCAUUGCCGUCCAUAUCUUUCAAUCUGUAUGAACCGGGUCUUGACGAAGAUGCUACUAAGAAAGGCCCGUCCCAUUUCAACUGCAAUUUGCCCACUGUUUCCGAGUUGGCCACCCUCCGAAGCACCAAGUGCCCUGGCCCAAUAUUUUUUAGCCGAACCUUUCUAUCCCGCCAUUUAACUGUUUCAGCUUGAUAUUUAUUGAUAUUCUCCACGGCUUGCAGUCUGAUCCCUUCUAAAGCAUCUUUUUCUAUAGAAUAAGCAGCUUCGGAGUCUGAUUCUGCCGAAGCUACUAUCCUUAUUGAUCCGGUUUUAGCUUCCUCUGGAGUUAUUGCUUCGUCACCGAAUAACAACUUGAAUGGAGUGAAGCCUGUAGACCUUGAUGUUGUCGUGUUGUGGCUCCACACCACUUUGAUUAACUGAUCUGGCCAUUUUCCUCUGGGUUGAUUGAAGAUUAACUUCAUUAUUCCUGUCAUUAUAAUGCCGUUGGCUCUUUCAACGAGUCCAUUUGACUCCGGGUGCCUAACUGAUGCAAAAUGGAUCUUCGUACCAAUUUGGUCACAGAAAUCCCUGAAAGCUUCGGAGUCAAACUGUGUCCCAUUGUCCACAGUGAUGGCCUUUGGCACCCCGAAACGACAAACAAUAUUCUGCCAGAAAAACUUUUGGACGGUGGCCGAAGUUAUUGUUGCUAAAGGCUUCGCCUCAAUCCAUUUAGAAAAAUAUUCCACAGCUACUACAACAUAUCUCAGGUUCCCUUGGGCCGGUGGUAACGGACCUAACAAGUCAAGGCCCCACCUUUGCAAUGGCCAAGUGGGUUGUAUGAGCUGUGUUAAGGACGAAGGUUGUUUUUGAUCUCUUGCACAUUUCUGACAACCUUCGCACUUUUGAACCAAUUCUGCUGCAUCCGAAGCUGCCUUCGGCCAAUAAAACCCUUGACGGAAAAUUUUUCCGAGUAACGGCCUAGAUCCGAUGUGAGAUCCACACAGGCCUGCAUGUAUUUCUUUCAUUAACUCUAUACCUUCGGUUCUGGAUAAGCAUUUGAGCAGCGGAGCACAAACUCCAUGUUUGUACAACUCCCCUUCUAUCAUGACAUAUGGACGAGCUCUUGCUUCUAUCCUCUUGUUAUAAGCUUCGUCAUCUGAAAGAAAUUUACCCUGAAGGUAAGAGAUGAUCUCGGUUCUCCAAUCUUCGCUAAAAACAGGAGAUAUAUUAAGAACUGCUCUUUCAAGAAGUUCCACCGAAGGUGCUUUUAUUGUUUCGAAGAACACAUCCGAAGGUAAAGGCAGCCCCUGUGCUGCUGACUUGGCUAGCAGAUCAGCAUGCUCAUUUUGUCCUCGAGGAAUAUUCUUGACAGAAAACCCUUCGAAGGAAGCUUCGACUCUUCGAACCAUAUCCAGAUAUUUUUCAAGCUUCGGAUCCUUAGCCUUACAACUUUUGUCAAUAUGACCCGAAACAACCUGGGAAUCAGUUUUAAGUAUGGCCCUUCUGACUCCCAUUGCUUUUAACUUCCGAAGACCUAGAACCAAUGCUUCGUACUCAGCAAUGUUAUUUGUGCAAUUAAAAUCAAGUUUUGCCGCAUAACAAAUUUUGACUUUGGAAGGUGAAACCAACACAGCAGCCGCUCCUGCUCCGAAGGUUCCCCAAGAUCCAUCACAAAACACUGUCCAGGCUUCGUUGUCUUUAUUCGUUUCCUCCUCCUGAGCCCCUGGCGUCCAAUCAGCAAUAAAGUCUGCCAGCGCCUGUGACUGAAUCGAAGAUCUAUGAACAUAUUCAAUACAAAAUUCAUUGAGCUCUGUAGCCCAUUUUCCAAUCCUUCCAGUAGCUUCUCGAUUCCUCAUAAUAUCCUUCAGAGGUUGCGAUGAAGGAACAAUUAUGUUGUAAGCUUGGAAAUAGUGUCGAAGCUUCCUGGAGGCCAUCAAGACAGCAUACAAUACCUUCUCCAGUUCUGUAUAAUUUUUCUUUGACAAACUAAGAACCUCGGAUACAAAAUAUAUUGGGGCCUGCCUCUUGACUUGACCAUCAAGCUUUUCCUGGACAAGCGCUGCACUUACCGCUGAGUGCGAAGCUGCCACAUAUAAUAACAAAGGAGCCCCUGGCAUUGGUGGAGUCAAUGUUGUUAGAUUUAUUAAAUACUGUUUUAGCUCUUCAAAGGCCUUCUGUUGGAUUGGUCCCCAUUGAAAGACUUCGGCUGACUUCAGCACUUCGAAGAAUGGUAAGUUUCUCUCUGCUGAUCUGGAUAUGAAUCUAUUGAGAGAUGCCAAUCUUCCUGUCAAUCUUUGAGCCCCCUUCUUUGUAGUUGGUGGCUCCAUCCGAAGUAUAGCUUCAAUUUUACUUGGAUUAGCUUCAAUCCCCUUUGUUGAAACCAAGCAUCCAAGAAAUUUCACCUUCUUCACUCCGAAGACGCAUUUUUCUGGAUUUAACUUCAAGCCAGCUUGCCUGAAACUGGCGAAGGUCUCCUGCAGAUCAGCAAUAUGAUUCUCCUGCUUCGUGCUUUUGACAAUGAUGUCAUCAACAUAAGUUAGCACGUUUCUGCCUAUUUGAGAUUGGAGAACCUUCGCAGUCAUUCGGCUGAAACUUCCUCCAGCGUUUUUGAGCCCCUCAGGCAUCCGAAGAUAGCAAUAUGUGCCACUUGGAGUUAUGAAGCUAGUCUUCGGCUCAUCUUCCUUCUUCAUCCAAAUUUGGUGAUAGCCUGAAUAACAGUCUAACAGACUCAUGAGCUCUGAAGAAGCUGCUGCAUCAACUAAAGAAUCUAUCCUUGGUAGUGGGAAUUCAUCCUUCGGGCAAGCUUUGUUAAGAUCUGUAAAAUCGAUGCACAUUCGCCACUUGCCAUUGGCCUUUUUUACCAUAACAGUGUUAGCUAGCCAUUCUGGGUACUUCACUUCUCUGAUAACUCCUGCACUAAGGAGUCUUUUGACUUCGUUGCGAGCGCCUUCGGCCUUAUCAUCUGACAUUUUCCGAAGCCUUUGCUUUCUGGGUCUGAAGGAUGGAUCGACAUUGAGUGAGUGCUCGAUAACAUCUCUAUUAACUCCGCAAAGAUCAUUGGCUGACCAUGCAAAAACAUCCUUGUUAUUGAACAAAAACCUUAUCAAGGUUUUCUCCUGCUCUUCGGAUAACUGAGAUCCUAACAGCACCUUCUGCUCUGCUAUGUCCUCACAUAAGAGCAUAGGCUUCGGCUGGUCUGCUGAAGCUGCUUUCUCCCUUCUGAAUUUGUACUGUUCACAAGCUUCAGCUCCAUCGAUGUUAUGGAUUGCUUUUGAGUCAGUCCAAUUACCUUCGGCCCUUCUUGCAGCUUCCUGACUUCCAUGGAUAGCGAUGGGUCCCUGAUCCGAAGGUAUCUUCAUGCAAAGAUAGGCAGGAUGAAGGAUUGCUUCGAAGGCAUUGAGAGUACCACGACCAAUAAUUGCAUUGUAAGGGUAUUCCAUGUCGACAAUGUCAAACACAACUUGCUCAGUUCUAGUGUUGUUGAUGAACCCGAAGGUCACUGACAUGGUGAUCUUGCCCAAUGCUACAAUCUGUCUUCCUCCGAAGCCACAGAGAGGAUGUGUAGCAUCAUGAAUCUUAUCUUCUGGCUCUUGCAUUUGUCUGAAGGCCUUAGCAAAUAUGAUGUCAGCUGCACUGCCUGUGUCAACCAAGACAUUGUGGACCAGAAAUCCUUUGAUAACACAAGAGAUAACCAUGGCAUCGUUGUGUGGGUAAUCUUUGAGCUAAAGGUCCUCUUGGGAGAAGGUAAUAGGAAUGUGAGACCAUCUUGACUUGAUGAAGGGUCCUUGCACCCCAACAUGCUGUACCCUUCUCUGUGCUUCCUUCUUCUGUUUCUUGUUAGCUGGCUCUGAGGACGAGCCACCUGUGAUCGGGAGUACCAGCUUCGGAUCCGAAGCAGCUCCAGCUUGGUCGUUGAACGAAGCCAUCAGCUCAAAAAGUGGAAGUGAGUUCACCGGAGGUGGGCGCCAAUGUUGGGGACUUGUUCUCAAAUGCUAUAAGUUAAGAACAAGGCAACACAGAGAAUGUUAAACGAUAAAGUCCUUCGUCCUUUGAGGCAUUAUUUCCCUUAGGAUAUAACGAUCUCCGGACGAAGGUCAUGAAGGACGAGCCUUCAUCAGCACAGUAUAUAUUAAUGAAAGACGAAGCAUAUGAAACAUAAAAGAUAGCAUGAAUAAUCAUAUAACAUCAUUCAUUUAACUUUAUUAUAUCAUCAUAGAGAAAUAGAGACAAUAUCGAAUUGUAAAUGUACCUUCGGUUUGGAAGGAGAUGAAAAUACAAGUGUGACGCAAAAUCAAAUGCCAAGUCAACGUGAACAGUACGGGGGUACUGUUCACCUAUUUAUAGGCACGAGGUACAAUCCAUACAAAAUUACAUACAUGCCCUUUACAUUUGGUGAUAAUUCUAUAGCACUCUAUUGAGGUCUAAAUGGUCUUUUCAUCUUUAAGUCGGUUCCCUUCUCUGCGAACAUGCCGAAGCUUUCCUGCUUCACAGCUUCGGCGCUGUGUCAACCUUUGUAGCUUUUUGCUUUCUGAUACGAGUCCGAAGAUACCUGCUCACACAUUUUAAGCCGCUUCUCCCUUGAAGACCUUCGGCGACGAAGCAUAGACCCAACAGCACCAUUAGGUCAGAAUCCUCCACACACACACCCACGUGCCACUGAGAUCCUCACUGUGCUUGAGGGGACACUCUACGUCGGAUUUGUCACCUCCAACCAAGCUGAUAGAAGCAACAGGCUAUUUGCCAAGGUUCUCAACAAGGGCGAUGUGUUUGUAUUCCCCCAAGGACUAAUCCACUUCCAGUUCAACCCAGUACAUGACAAGCCAGCAGUCGCGCUCGCUGCUCUAAGUAGCCAGAACCCUGGAGCUAUUACUAUUGCCAAUGCAGUCUUUGGAUCAAAGCCAC